This 252-nucleotide ribosomal RNA is filed under the name uncultured Lactobacillus sp. RNAcentral's name for it is "partial 16S ribosomal RNA". It matches the Rfam family "Bacterial small subunit ribosomal RNA", at positions 94 to 339 of the family's 1533-position model. The record is from RNAcentral. Lineage: Bacteria; Bacillati; Bacillota; Bacilli; Lactobacillales; Lactobacillaceae.
AGCGGCGGAUGGGUGAGUAACACGUGGGUAACCUGCCCUUAAGUCUGGGAUACCACUUGGAAACAGGUGCUAAUACCGGAUAACAACAAGUGCUGCAUGGCACUUGCUUGAAAGGCGGCGUAAGCUGUCGCUAAAGGAUGGACCCGCGGUGCAUUAGCUAGUUGGUAAGGUAACGGCUUACCAAGGCAACGAUGCAUAGCCGAGUUGAGAGACUGAUCGGCCACAUUGGGACUGAGACACGGCCCAAACUCC